GCCAGGCGCGGUGGCUCACACCUGUAAUCCCAACAUCUGGGAGGCUGAGGUGGGAGGAUCACUUGAGCCCAGGAGUUCGAGACCAGCCUGGGUAACAUAGUGAGACCUCAUCUCUA
This 116-nucleotide small RNA is filed under the name Pongo abelii (Sumatran orangutan). RNAcentral's name for it is "Metazoan signal recognition particle RNA (ENSPPYG00000031715.1)". The record is from Rfam by way of RNAcentral. Lineage: Eukaryota; Metazoa; Chordata; Mammalia; Primates; Hominidae.